GUGAUGUCUAUGAAUAGGUUUUCUAAAAAGAAGCUGGAGGCUUUCCAGGUCUCUUCUCAAGGACCUGUGUUUGUAAUUCCAGUGGCUAACACGUAAUUACAGUCUCAAGCUUGCUUUGAGAAUAGUGCUGGGCUUUCUUUGUGUCUGGUCUUCUCAACAGCUGUGUCAUCAGGCUGGCAUGCCUACUCACUGUUUCAAACACUUCAAGAAAAUAAAAUGGAUAUCUAGUAAAAGAAAAGAACAUGUUUCCAUGCCCUUGUAAGGAGGAGGACUGGUCUCCAUUUGCUCUUCAAGAAGAAAAUACUUAUGAAGCCAACACAGCUAUGGGCCCCACUCACUCCAGUUCUGUUGUGAGUGUCCCUCUAGCCAGUUCAAGCUUAGCGCACAUGAAGUGUAUGUCCUGGGAAGACGCUGGAACACUUACUCUUAAGUGAGUGUUUUCACCAACACUGACCAGGUGCUGAUGGGCGGGGGUUUAUCUUCAAAUUUUUUCAAGUUUUUUACUAUGUAACAAAUCCUCUUUGUGCCCCUCCUGCUAAAGAGAUUGCUCUGCAAAAAAAUGAUCUCUGUUGUUUUCUAAGAGACAGAAAGGGUGUGGGUCUCUGACGGGAGAGAAGGUGAGCAAGAUCAUUUUAGGGCAUGGAACGUGAAUCCAGACUGUUAACGCAAGAGAAUCUACUUGAUGAAGCUUUUCUGGCAUGAGCGAGGUUCCGCAUCCAUUACCAACACGGCUUCAUCAUCGAAAAUGUACGGUGUCGUUUCUAAUGGGAAACAUUUCCUGGCACCCGUGUGUACUCAGCUUUUGGCUCUCAUCAGAUAAAAAUGCUGUGACAGUCACAGCCUAAUUUGUCUUGAGUGCUUUGAGAGACUUAAUGAUAGUGCUGGUUUUGAUCUUCGGGUGCAAAUGUAGCUUUUUUUUUUUUUUUAAAUCAUCUGGGAGUUGUUUCCUCUAUGUUUUCAGUACCACCUAAAUACAUUUUUGGAAGAU
Molecule: long non-coding RNA, 988 nt
Filed under: Mus pahari (shrew mouse)
Lineage: Eukaryota; Metazoa; Chordata; Mammalia; Rodentia; Muridae
Description: lncRNA (MGP_PahariEiJ_G0004542.1)
Source: RNAcentral